RNAcentral lists this ribosomal RNA (238 nucleotides) under Tuber anniae. RNAcentral's name for it is "partial large subunit ribosomal RNA". It matches the Rfam family "Eukaryotic large subunit ribosomal RNA", at positions 104 to 339 of the family's 3401-position model. The record is from RNAcentral. Lineage: Eukaryota; Fungi; Ascomycota; Pezizomycetes; Pezizales; Tuberaceae.
AAAGCUCAAAUUUGAAAUCUAACACUUCUGGUGUUCGAGUUGUACUUUGGAGAGGCAUCUUCUGGAGGGGCCCAGCCUAUGUGCCUUGGAACAGGACGUCAUAGAGGGUGAGAAUCCCGUCCUUGGCUGGAUGUUCCCUCCUGUAUGUAGUGUCUUCUACGAGUCGAGUUGUUUGGGAAUGCAGCUCAAAAUGGGUGGUAAAUUUCAUCUAAAGCUAAAUAUUGGCGAGAGACCGAUA